AUUGAACGCUGGCGGCAUGCCUUACACAUGCAAGUCGAACGGUAACGGGCCUUAGGGUGCCUCCGAGCGGCGCACGGGUGAGUAAUACACCGGAACGUGCCCGAUCGUGGGGGAAAAUGAGGCGUAAGCUUGGCUAAUACCGCAUACGAUCUACGGAUGACACCUAGGGACCGCAAGGCCUUGCGCGGACGGUGCGGCCGAAGGCAGAUUAGGUAGGUUGUGGGAUUAAAGCUUACCAAGCCGACGAUCUGUAGCUGGUCUGAGAGGAUGAUUAGCCACACUGGGAGUGAGACACGGCCCAGACUCCUACGGGAGGAAGCAGUGGGGAAUUUUGGACGAUGGGGGAAAGGGUGAUCCAGCAAUGCCGCGUGCAGGAUGAAGGACUUCGGGUUGUAAACUGCUUUUGUACGGAACGAAAUGCCUUCUUUUAAUACAGGAGGGUCAUGACGGUACCGUAAGAAUAAGCACCGGCUAACUACGUG
Molecule: ribosomal RNA, 482 nt
Filed under: uncultured bacterium
Lineage: Bacteria
Description: partial 16S ribosomal RNA
Rfam family: Bacterial small subunit ribosomal RNA
Source: RNAcentral